AGAGUUUGAUCAUGGCUCAGAAUCAACGCUGGCGGCGCGCCUAACACAUGCAAGUCGAACGGGAAAGUGGAGCAAUCCAUGAGUACAGUGGCGUACGGGUGAGUAACACGUGGGUAUCUAACUCUUAGUGGGGAAUAACCCUGGGAAACCGGGGCUAAUACCGCAUAAGCUCGAGAGAGGAAAGCAGCAAUGCGCUGAGAGAGGAGCCCGCGGCCGAUUAGCUAGUUGGCAGGGUAAGAGCCUACCAAGGCAGAGAUCGGUAGCCGGCCUGAGAGGGCACACGGCCACACUGGCACUGAAACACGGGCCAGACUCCUACGGGAGGCAGCAGUGGGGAAUCUUGCACAAUGGGGGCAACCCUGAUGCAGCGACGCCGCGUGAGCGAUGAAGCCCUUCGGGGUGUAAAGCUCUUUCGUCAGGGAAGAUUAUGACGGUACCUGGAGAAGCAGCUGCGGCUAACUACGUGCCAGCAGCCGCGGUAAUACGUAGGCAGCGAGCGUUGUUCGGAGUUACUGGGCGUAAAGGGUGUGUAGGCGGUUCUUUAAGUUUGGCGUGAAAUCUCCCGGCUCAACCGGGAGGGUGCGUCGAAUACUGAGGGACUAGAGUACGGGAGAGGAAAGUGGAAUUCCUGGUGUAGCGGUGAAAUGCGUAGAUAUCAGGAGGAACACCGGUGGUGUAGACGGCUUUCUGGACCGUAACUGACGCUGAGACACGAAAGCGUGGGUAGCAAACAGGAUUAGAUACCCUGGUAGUCCACGCCCUAAACGAUGCAUAUUUGGUGUGGGUCAUUCAGUUGAUCCGUGCCGGAGCUAACGCGUUAAAUAUGCCGCCUGGGGAGUACAGUCGCAAGGCCGAAACUCAAAGGAAUUGACGG
RNAcentral lists this ribosomal RNA (874 nucleotides) under uncultured bacterium. RNAcentral describes it as "bacterial SSU rRNA". It matches the Rfam family "Bacterial small subunit ribosomal RNA", at positions 8 to 916 of the family's 1533-position model. The record is from RNAcentral.